UACGGAGGGUGCAAGUGUUAAUCGGAAUUACUGGGCGUAAAGCGCACGCAGGCGGUCUGUCAAGGCGGAUGUGAAAUCCCCGGGCUCAACCUGGGAACUGCAUCCGAAACUGGUAGGCUAAAGUCUUGUAGAGGGGGUAAGAAUUCCAGGUGUAGCGGUGAAAUGCGUAGAGAUCUGGAGGAGUACCGGUGGCGAAGGCGGCCCCCUGGACAAAGACUGACGCUCAGGCGCGAAAGCGUGGGGAGCAAACAGG
This 253-nucleotide unclassified non-coding RNA is filed under the name uncultured Enterobacteriaceae bacterium. RNAcentral's name for it is "contains 16S-23S intergenic spacer region". It matches the Rfam family "Bacterial small subunit ribosomal RNA", at positions 524 to 776 of the family's 1533-position model. Lineage: Bacteria; Pseudomonadati; Pseudomonadota; Gammaproteobacteria; Enterobacterales; Enterobacteriaceae. The record is from RNAcentral.